This 478-nucleotide ribosomal RNA is filed under the name Proctoporus bolivianus. RNAcentral describes it as "partial 16S ribosomal RNA". It matches the Rfam family "Bacterial large subunit ribosomal RNA", at positions 1818 to 2577 of the family's 2925-position model. Lineage: Eukaryota; Metazoa; Chordata; Lepidosauria; Squamata; Gymnophthalmidae. The record is from RNAcentral.
GCCUUUAGCCAACAGUAUUAAAGGUAACGCCUGCCCAGUGAUAAAUUAAACGGCCGCGGGAUCCUCCACCGUGCAAAGGUAGCAUAAUCACUUGUCCCCUAAAUAGUGACUAGUAUGAACGGCCAAAUGAAGAUUUUACUGUCUCUUAUAGCCUAUCUAUGAAACUAAUCUAUCAGUACAAAAACUGAUAUUCUUACAUAAGACGAAAAGACCCUGUGGAACUUAAAGCUUAAAUCACUCAAUGAUACGACUGCUUUUAGUUGGGGCAACUUUGGAAACAAAUAAAACUUCCAAUUAAUAAAACCAGAUAAACAUAUCUACACCACCACUUUGGACCCAGCACCCGCUGAUCAAAGAACCAAGCUACCCCAGGAUAACAGCGCUAUCCCCUCCUAGAGCCCAAAUCGACGAGCGGGGUUUACGACCUCGAUGUUGGAUCAGGGCCCCCAAACAGUGCAACAGCUGUUAAAAGUUNGUU